CCCCUAGUAACUGCGAGUGAAGCGGGAAAAGCUCAAAUUUAAAAUCUGGCGGUCUUUGGCCGUCCGAGUUGUAGUCUGGAGAAGUGCUUUCCGCGCUGGACCGUGUAUAAGUCUCUUGGAACAGAGCGUCAUAGAGGGUGAGAAUCCCGUCUUUGACACGGACUACCAGUGCUUUGUGAUGCGCUCUCAAAGAGUCGAGUUGUUUGGGAAUGCAGCUCAAAAUGGGUGGUGAAUUCCAUCUAAAGCUAAAUAUUGGCGAGAGACCGAUAGCGAACAAGUACCGUGAGGGAAAGAUGAAAAGCACUUUGGAAAGAGAGUUAAACAGUACGUGAAAUUGCUGAAAGGGAAACGCUUGAAGUCAGUCGCGUUGUCCGGGACUCAGCCUUGCUUUCGCUUGGCGCACUUUCCGGAUGACGGGCCAGCAUCGAUUUUGACCGUCGGAAAAGGGCUAGGGUAAUGUGGCACCUCCGGGUGUGUUAUAGACCUUAGUCGCAUACGGCGGUCGGGAUCGAGGAACGCAGCGCGCCGUAAGGCAGGGGUUUGCCCACAUUCGCGCUUAGGAUGCUGGCGUAAUGGCUUUAAACGACCCGUCUUGAAACACGGACCAAGGAGUCUAACAUGCCUGCGAGUGUUUGGGUGGUAAACCCGAGCGCGUAAUGAAAGUGAAAGUUGAGACCUCUGUCGUGGAGGGCAUCGACGCCCGGACCUGACGUUCUCUGACGGAUCCGCGGUAGAGCAUGUAUGUUGGGACCCGAAAGAUGGUGAACUAUGCCUGAAUAGGGUGAAGCCAGAGGAAACUCUGGUGGAGGCUCGUAGCGAUUCUGACGUGCAAAUCGAUCGUCAAAUUUGGGUA
This 853-nucleotide ribosomal RNA is filed under the name Sanguinoderma perplexum. RNAcentral describes it as "eukaryotic LSU rRNA". It matches the Rfam family "Eukaryotic large subunit ribosomal RNA", at positions 77 to 917 of the family's 3401-position model. Lineage: Eukaryota; Fungi; Basidiomycota; Agaricomycetes; Polyporales; Polyporaceae. The record is from RNAcentral.